UCAUGCAUAGAACACUUCUACUCCAACUGUCUGAUCCACACUGUGAGGAACUCAGUGUAAAGCGAUGAAGGCUCUACAGUUAAUGGUCGGGAUCCUGCUGGUGACCGCGCAAGUCACCGUUCAACUGGCAGGGGGGUCUGACUAUCCGAGUGAUGUGGAGAACUAUGAUGCCCCAAAGAUGGUGAAACGAGAGCAUGAUCGGCGGCAGAAUAUUGCACCACCAGGAUUGGAUUUUGCAGAGGGAACUAAUCAAUGAUUCAGAUGUAAAUUCCAUGAAGUCCAAGCUAGCUGGAGUAACCAUGACUUGUCGACAGGACAACAAUCUUUUUGUGAUUAAGUAGCUCUCAUAACCCCUAACCCCUAGCCCACAUAAAUAUACCACACUGCGGUUCUUGUAGCGUCA
Molecule: long non-coding RNA, 403 nt
Organism: Amblyraja radiata (thorny skate)
Lineage: Eukaryota; Metazoa; Chordata; Chondrichthyes; Rajiformes; Rajidae
Exons: 2
Source: RefSeq, a predicted model, not a curated record